RNAcentral lists this ribosomal RNA (468 nucleotides) under uncultured bacterium. Its description in RNAcentral is "bacterial SSU rRNA". It matches the Rfam family "Bacterial small subunit ribosomal RNA", at positions 28 to 486 of the family's 1533-position model. The record is from RNAcentral.
GAUGAACGCUAGCGAUAGGCCUAACACAUGCAAGUCGAGGGGCAUCACAUGAAGUAGCAAUACGGAUGGUGGCGACCGGCGCACGGGUGAGUAACACGUAUGCAACCUGCCUUCAACAAGGGGAUAACCCGUUGAAAGACGGACUAAUACCCUAUAACACAGGGGUCCCGCAUGGGAAUAUUUGUUAAAGGACAACCGGUUGAAGAUGGGCAUGCGUUCCAUUAGCUAGUUGGCGGGGUAACGGCCCACCAAGGCAACGAUGGAUAGGGGAACUGAGAGGUUUAUCCCCCACACUGGUACUGAGACACGGACCAGACUCCUACGGGAGGCAGCAGUGAGGAAUAUUGGUCAAUGGACGCAAGUCUGAACCAGCCACGUCGCGUGAAGGAAGACGGCCCUACGGGUUGUAAACUUCUUUUAACGGGAAUAAAGUGCCCCACGCGUGGGGUUUUGCAUGUACCGUAUGAA